Long non-coding RNA from Canis lupus familiaris (dog), 602 nucleotides. RefSeq lists it as uncharacterized. The transcript has 2 exons. NCBI's taxonomy places the organism in Eukaryota, Metazoa, Chordata, Mammalia, Carnivora, Canidae. The record is from RefSeq and is a predicted model, not a curated record.
CGUCCGCGAGCCCGGCCUCCUCACAGGCUGCCGGGGUGCCCUCCUGUCACAGCGAGCGCCUGCCACUCAUUCACUCAUUGCUCCGAGACCGACCCCGACGACGGACGGCCAUGAUGAACGAACGCGCGGCUCGGCGGCGUGGUGUUCACACGCACAGCGGCUUACACGCGCACUUCCCGCCGAGGGUGAAACAGGUUAUAAGAUUCUACUAUGUAUGAAACCAUACUAUCUCAGCUAGUGAAAAAUGAGCGCGAGAAAUAAUGCAACAUAGCAACUUCACCUGGAGGCAAGGUAAAUUACCCAAAUACCCUAUACUUUAUGUUUGCCACAUGGUUUGCAGCUGAGAAGCCUUUACAUUUUCUAUAACACAAAAUUCAUUCCAGCCCCUUGCCCUAAAGAUGCUAUUAACCUCUACUGUCUGCAGUGGAGCUGUGACCUCUCAAAUAUAUAGACCUGUGUCUAAAUGUCCUGUGACCUCUCAAAUAUAUAGACCUACAGCCUUUAGGAUGUGUUGUCAGGAUACAAGUUUUUUAAGUAUUAUUAUGGAAAAUGAAAUAUAUACAAAAAUAGAGAUGCUAGUAUAAUAAACCUUCUCAAAUCCA